This 220-nucleotide ribosomal RNA is filed under the name uncultured Deinococcus sp. RNAcentral's name for it is "partial 16S ribosomal RNA". It matches the Rfam family "Bacterial small subunit ribosomal RNA", at positions 1179 to 1397 of the family's 1533-position model. The record is from RNAcentral. Lineage: Bacteria; Thermotogati; Deinococcota; Deinococci; Deinococcales; Deinococcaceae.
AUGACGUCUAGUCAGCAUGGUCCUUACAACCUGGGCUACACACGUGCUACAAUGGCAGGUAUAACGCGUCGCCACUCGCGAGAGUGCGCUAAUCGCUAAAAGCUUGUCCCAGUUCAGAUUGUAGUCUGCAACUCGACUACCUGAAGUUGGAAUCGCUAGUAAUCGCAGAUCAGCAUUGCUGCGGGGGAAUACUUUCCCGGGUCUUGUACACACCGCCCGU